Molecule: non-coding RNA, 28 nt
Filed under: Cricetulus griseus (Chinese hamster)
Lineage: Eukaryota; Metazoa; Chordata; Mammalia; Rodentia; Cricetidae
Source: RNAcentral
CUCAGUUGGUAGAGCGGAGGACUGUAGU